Molecule: ribosomal RNA, 1511 nt
Filed under: metagenome
Description: bacterial SSU rRNA
Rfam family: Bacterial small subunit ribosomal RNA
Source: RNAcentral
AGAAUUUGAUCUUGGUUCAGAUUGAACGCUGACGGCGUGGAUGAGGCAUGCAAGUCGAACGAAGCAACGGGGCAACUCGUUGCUUAGUGGCGGAAGGGUCAGUAAUACAUGGGUAACUUACCUCUAACCUGGGGAUAACGACUGGAAACGGUCGCUAAUACCGAAUGUGGUGCAGAUGAUGAGAGUUGUUUGCAUUAAAGUUGGGGACUGUAAUAGGCCUUGCGGUUAGAGAGAGGCCCAUGCGAUAUCAGCUAGUUGGUGAGGUAAUGGCCCACCAAGGCUAAGACGUCUAGGCGGAUUGAGAGAUCGACCGCCGACAUUGGGACUGAGAUACUGCCCAGACUCCUACGGGAGGCUGCAGUCGAGGAUCUUUCGCAAUGGGGGAAACCCUGACGGAGCGACGCCGUGUGAGUGAUGAAGGCCUUCGGGUUGUAAAGCUCUUUUGUCCGGGAUCAAGAGAGGGUCGUGAAUAGCGAUCCGAUAUGAGAGUACCGGAAGAAUAAGCGCCGGCUAACUACGUGCCAGCAGCUGCGGUAAUACGUAGGGCGCAAGCGUUAAUCGGAUUUAUUGGGCGUAAAGGGCGCGUAGGCGGGAAUGUAAGUCGGGCGUGAAAUACCGGGGCUCAACCUCGGAACGGCACUCGAAACUGCAUUUCUUGAGGGUAGACGGAGAAAGCGGAAUUCCGCAUGUAGCGGUGAAAUGCGUAGAUAUGCGGAAGAACACCGGUGGCGAAGGCGGCUUUCUAGUUUACUCCUGACGCUGAGGCGCGAAAGCAAGGGGAUCAAACAGGAUUAGAUACCCUGGUAGUCCUUGCUGUAAACGAUGUGUACUUGAUGUAGCUGGAGCUCAACCCUAGCUGUGUCGUAGCUAACGCGAUAAGUACACCGCCUGGAGAGUACAGUCGCAAGGCUGAAAUUCAAAAGAAUUGACGGGGGCCCGCACAAGCAGUGGAGCAUGUGGUUUAAUUCGAUGCAACGCGAAGAACCUUACCCAGAACGACAUGCAGAGGAAGAUAGCAGAAAUGUUAUCGCCCGCAAGGGCCUUUGCACAGGUGCUGCAUGGCUGUCGUCAGCUCGUGCCGUGAGGUGUUGGGUUAAGUCCCGCAACGAGCGCAACCCUUAUCGUUAGUUGCCAACAUUUAAGGUGGGGACUCUAACGAGACUGCCUGGGUGAACCAGGAGGAAGGUGAGGAUGACGUCAAGUCAGCAUGGCCCUUAUGUCUGGGGCUACACACGUGCUACAAUGGUCGGUACAGAGGGUCGCUAAGUGGUGACACGGAGCAAAUCCUUAAAGCCGGCCUCAGUUCAGAUUGUAGUCUGCAACUCGACUACAUGAAGUUGGAAUUGCUAGUAAUGGCGGGUCAGCAACACCGCCGUGAAUACGUUCCCGGGCCUUGUACACACCGCCCGUCAAGCCAUGGGAGUUGGUUUUACCCGAAGCCGCUGACCUAACCGCAAGGAAGGAGGCGUCUAAGGUGAGGCUGAUGACUGGGGCUAAGUCGUAACAAGGUA